CGCUUCAAAAACAAUAGGGUCCUCGCAGGUUCCCUGCUCGGGCCCUAAUUAAGGAUCCAUGGCGGGACUCAAACCCAGAGCAGAAGCAAAGCCUCCAUUCACAUCCUGCUCUACCACCUGAGCUAAACACCAUUAUGAGUUCACACUGGAUGAAUAAACACAAUGAGUCCCGCCCACAGACUUUCUGACGAAUGCAGGUGGAGCACGCCGAAAAGGGGCGGUCUCGCUCGUUUCCCGCGUGAAAUUAGUGGAUUUCCCUCCAAAACUGUAGAUGUGUAUUUAAAUAGCUGUUGGAUCGUCACUCUGGUUCCAGCGGCUCUACUCUGAGGACACGAAUACGGUGAACAGUGGGACUUGUCUUCAGCUUCAGGUGGAACAGCUGUGGCCUGUACGGUGAUCAGACCCGGAGAGGAGACACACCUGGUCCAACCAGGUGAUGGACAGUUGAAAGGACGAAUCACCAAGAUGAGCCAAUCAAUGGAGACGCCACAGGAGCCUGAACCUGUACUUCACGAGGGGGAUCAAACAUGGCUGAUAUAUCUGCAGUUCACUGCUUGUUUCUCCAGAACGAGAGCAGCCAGGAGCUGAAAGUUGUG
This is a long non-coding RNA of Acanthopagrus latus (yellowfin seabream), 596 nucleotides long. RefSeq lists it as uncharacterized. NCBI's taxonomy places the organism in Eukaryota, Metazoa, Chordata, Actinopteri, Spariformes, Sparidae. The record is from RefSeq and is a predicted model, not a curated record. The transcript is spliced from 3 exons.